Long non-coding RNA from Chroicocephalus ridibundus (black-headed gull), 2445 nucleotides. RefSeq lists it as uncharacterized. The transcript is spliced from 3 exons. The record is from RefSeq and is a predicted model, not a curated record. NCBI's taxonomy places the organism in Eukaryota, Metazoa, Chordata, Aves, Charadriiformes, Laridae.
GAUACUGCGCAUGCGCAGGAGGCGGCUGGCGGCGCUAUGAGGGGCCUGGCAGCUGUUAGUGGCUGUUACUGGCCGUUACUUCCUGUAGCGGGCCCGGGCAGUCCUCUCACCACCGCCUUCUCCUCGCGUCCCGCAGCUCCUGCCGGGGAGGCGGUGGCCCCGGGGGAGUCGCCGUUGCCGCACGGCGCUGGCCGGGGCGGGGGCCCCGGGGCACUCGUGGAUGGCGGGGUUACCUGCUGGUAACCUUUACCGUGUAGGCCGCGUCGCUCUGUUGCGAGCUGUGUUUGCAAGUCCGUGCCUUGAUACAGGUUUGGUGGGAGAAGGAGCAACGUUUCUCCAGAUGUAUUUUUGCCAGUCACAUUUGGGUUGAUCAGAGGAGACUGAUAAAAUAUUUGCCGAGAUGACGUCAGUGGCAGAAUCACCAGAAGAACCACCGACCAGUGGCGCGAGUCUGCCGCCCAGGCAGGGCCAGAAGCACGGGCGGUCGUCUCAGCAGAGCGCCAAGAAAGAAGUCCUCAGCUCUGUGAGUCCUCAAAGAGGGAGGGAGCUACUGCCUGUGCCAGGCUCAAGACAGAGCAUCUCCAAAUCCAGGUGCAGAAGGAAUGUACUCUGGUCUCUGAGCUUUAACGUCGCACUUACUGUUAUCAGCUGUAAUGUGAUUUGAAGAGAGAGAAUUCAGGUUCAAGAGCUGUCAAAGCACCGAAUGGAUUGUAUUCACCUUGGUAGGACCUCAGCUAGGAACAGGAAAGAGUUAAUUUCUAUUUCAGUUGGCAUAAGGUUAUGUAAGUUUUUUUCUUGAUUCAAUAAGUAGUUUAGUUAACUUGUAAUAACUUCUUGUAAAAACAACUAAAAGCAAUAAUUAAGCUUCAGGAUCAAAAGAAGAAAAUGUGGCUUUUUUAGUAUUUAAUGUUAAGGUAGGACAAAUGAUGUUUGCUUCAGUAACUUUGUAAAUUUUCCAAUGCAAGCUAACUAGAAAUAUGUUUAGGUUAAGUAAAGAAAUUUUUUCCCCUGCUGUGUUCUGAAAUUACCAUUAAACUAGGCCAAAUUUGUUCUUGGUGUAACUCCACACAACUGAGCGAUGUCAGUGCUUUACAAACAUUUUCUGGGGCGAUCUGUAAGACAGAAAGUAGAAAGUUUAGAGAGAAGUCAGCCUGAGGAGAGAACUGCAGAAGCAUACCAUGGUAGAAAGCCAGACCAACACAGCUGUUAUCAAGGGCAAAAAUAAAUGUUUUGCUUUGCAGGCUUUUUAAAAGCUGAAAUAGCAGGUAAAGGUGUCCUAAAAGCAUCACUUCUGUAGUUUUUCAACAGGCUCUCUCACAGAAUGAAGAUGAUUAAAGAGGAUGAAUAAGCAUGGGGUUUGCUAUGAAUUAAACAUUGAGUAUGUAAGGAAAACAAGCAAACAAAAAGCUAGAGUGAAUGUUUGUUUUUCCAAAAAGAAGGAGGUUAGUUACAGGCCAUCCCAGGGAUCUGCAUUGAGACCAUAUUAUUUUUGUUUGGAAGCAAAAUCUUUUACCCACUUAGUCUAAAAAUAGGCUAAUAUAAGAUGGAAAUAACUCUGUUAGAAAUCAAAGAUGAGCUAUCUUCCUCCUUUGCAACAAGACAGAGUUGAUUAACUACUACUCUGAGAUAGAGUAUGGUAUGUGCUCUGUUUUGUGAUUAUAUUGGCUUCUCAGAUACAUAUCAAAUACCACUUAUUUCUGAGCAAUCAGUCAUACUCAUUUAGGAUUGUCACAUCCACUUCUCACCUUCAAAACAUUUAUUACUGGCAACUAAAAUAUUAGCAUGUCUGCCUGCCUUCCUCUCAUGGAUGAUUAGCCAACAGUCUCCCCCUUGCAGCCCAACCCUUCCCUGCCUCUUUGAUGCCGUGGCAGGUGUCAUCUCUCUGCCUGUCAUUUUGGCUAUACCUGAACAUCUAUCAGGCUCCUCUGUGUCUUCAUCCCUAGUUCAUACCUCUUUUUUUACUAAUUCCCCCUGCAUAACAUGUACAGGAUAGAAUUCUCUUUGUCUAUUCACAAAACCGAACUUCUCAUUUAGGUUAUGGUUGUCUCAUUUAUUGAGACCUUUUUCUGGUCUUGUCAAAAUCACACCCUUGCCCUGCUCACACCUACCCAUGAGGCUGCUGUAAAGACUGCUUUGCUUUUUGUGCACAGCUGAAAGUGUUAGCUCUCUGUGUGCAUCCUUACGCUCACAUUUCUCUGUCACAUCAAACCUAAGACUCUUAUCCUCAAAUCAACGCACUUUUUACUGCUGCCAUCUAACCUAUGGCACCAGCUGUUCUUUAGUAGUGAGCUAGAAUUAGGUGCAGGCCCCCUUUUGCCCUCACUGUUCCUAAAAGCUCCACAAAAGGAGUUUUCUCCUUUCAGUCCCUCCUUGAAGCUCUUGCCUGGGACAUUUCCAGGCUUCUCAAGACCUAGGUUGCAGACAUGCAAUUUCUUAGGCUUAUUG